GUGGCUUAAUUUGACUCAACGCGGAAAAGCUUAUCUGGUCCGGACACAGUGAGGAUUGACAGACAGUUGGCAGGAGUGGUUCUUGGUAAAAACAAAUGAGAGAGUUGAAGUUCUUUCAUGAUCUUGUGAGAGGUGGUGCAUGGCCGUUCUUAGUUCGUGUAGUGAUAUGUCUGCCUAAUCGCGUCACGAUAACCUAUUGGUCGACAACCCAAUUAUCACAACUGCAGCAUAACUCCCCUUGGGUGGGCGAGGCUCUGUGUAGGAUAGACCUCUGAACAGUACGCAACGAACGCGAUCGUAAUCCCUUGUUGAGUGGCCAUCCUGUAAGCUGCUGGAUUUGAAACCCAGUGGUAUUAUCUCAGCCACAGAUUUUCUGGUUGUAAUGGGCCAGUUUUGAAACUCGGGGAACAUCUGUGACUUUCUUUCUUAACGCAGAGGAAGGUUAUGGCAAUAACA
Molecule: ribosomal RNA, 456 nt
Filed under: Globigerina bulloides
Lineage: Eukaryota; Foraminifera; Rotaliida; Globigerinidae
Description: bacterial SSU rRNA
Rfam family: Eukaryotic small subunit ribosomal RNA
Source: RNAcentral